UUGAAUAUUGUGUUUAACUCCAUUGUAAU
Molecule: small RNA, 29 nt
Filed under: Bombyx mori (domestic silkworm)
Lineage: Eukaryota; Metazoa; Arthropoda; Insecta; Lepidoptera; Bombycidae
Description: ovarian small RNA-37647
Source: RNAcentral